UAACACAAGAGAGCGCUGCAUUGUUUGGGU
RNAcentral lists this non-coding RNA (30 nucleotides) under Homo sapiens (human). The record is from RNAcentral. Lineage: Eukaryota; Metazoa; Chordata; Mammalia; Primates; Hominidae.